UACAUAAACGGUUACCUUACAGCUGUUGGCCAACUCAACUACAGCUAUCUUUCAACCAUUCUAUAGCUAAUCUCCAUAAAGAUAAACAACCCAUAAUCUCCAUACAGCUGACCAUUCUGUUAUAACAAACUAACAGCCUAACAAACUCUCUCUAUUACUGAGCAGCUAAGUAACUUUCAUCUAUAUAAAGAAGGGCAAGGUACUCUCUGGA
Molecule: long non-coding RNA, 211 nt
Filed under: Elaeis guineensis (African oil palm)
Lineage: Eukaryota; Viridiplantae; Streptophyta; Magnoliopsida; Arecales; Arecaceae
Description: long non-coding RNA (EGUI_LNC018066)
Source: RNAcentral